This 274-nucleotide ribosomal RNA is filed under the name uncultured bacterium. RNAcentral's name for it is "partial 16S ribosomal RNA". It matches the Rfam family "Bacterial small subunit ribosomal RNA", at positions 523 to 796 of the family's 1533-position model. The record is from RNAcentral.
CUACAGAUGGUGCAAGCGUUAAUCGGAUUUACUGGGCGUAAAGCGCGCGUAGGCGGCUAAUUAAGUCAAAUGUGAAAUCCCCGAGCUUAACUUGGGAAUUGCAUUCGAUACUGGUUAGCUAGAGUGUGGGAGAGGAUGGUAGAAUUCCAGGUGUAGCGGUGAAAUGCGUAGAAAUCUGGAGGAAUACCGAUGGCGAAGGCAGCCAUCUGGCCUAACACUGACGCUGAGGUGCGAAAGCAUGGGGAGCAAACAGGAUUAGAAACCCUAGUAGUCC